CACAUAGUGAUGUCUUAUCACCGUCUUAGCAAGACCGAUUCAACAGUAAAUGACUCGCUUUUAAAUCAACCUCGCAUUAAUGUGAUGUCACAGGCCAACAGGUCUGUGCUUAAGUAAGAUAAAAUCAAAAUGAUUCUGAGAUGACCAAUCAAACCAAACCAGGUAGACAGAGGUGCAACUCAAAGCAGUACAUGUGCGCGAUACCUCAGUUAGUAGAAAUGCAAGAAAGAUGCAAGUAAUCAAAAUCGGACUAUUAUACAGCAGUUUAAUGAUGAGAAAUAUGAAAAUGCAGUGAUUUUUAAGAUGACAAAACAUUACUGCAGAUGGGUGUCCAAAUUGAAUGUGCUAUUUUCACUCCCUCCAGUAAUUUACUUCUCGUUAUUCAGUGUGUUUAUUAACAAAAUUCACCACCACCCUUUAAUUCUUGAAGAGACCUUUUUACUGUAUAAUGAUUAGAUUCACUGUGUUGGACCGGACUGCUGCCUUGAACUUGAAAACGCGACGCAUCAUGUGUGUGAGUAGACCGUUGUCUACAUUAAAAGCUUUUUAAAUUUGCAUUGUUUUAAAUGUAUAUAGUGUAUAAUUUUUCUUCACUGUUCAUCUACCGGUAGCGCGCGUGUACAGACUUGAAAUAAGCCUGUGUUUGUAUUUUGGCUUAAACGGACAAAUUUACAUAACAUUUGUAAAUGUAGUGUCUUAGUGCGUAUCAUAGUAAGCUACUGAUUAUGUCUUAAAGGGGACAGCGAAUGAAAAAAAAACGUUUUUACCUUGUCUUUGUUGAAUAAUGGUAGUCUACCGGCAUUCACAAACAUACAAAAAGUGCUAAACAUGCUGAACAUCUCAGUCUCAUAGUAAUUCCUCUUUUAGAAAUGUUAGCCAGAAAACGGCCCAAUCUGAAAAACUGAUGCUUAUGACAUCGCAGGCAUCUCACUGCACCUCCACUUUAAAAUAAUUUGCUUCAUUUUUUAAGUGGCAGCAAAGUCAGCCAAUCAGUAAUGAGAUUGCAAGUUAAGCCAGUAGGGGGAGCCAAAUAGGUGCAAAACCACUUGUUUAAAAUCCCCCACCCUAAUAGAGAUAUCUGAGAGAGGUUUUUAGGAAGUUUCGAAGGCAUUACAGACCCAAACAAAAAUUUUUGUCUACAUGUCACAUCACAGAACAAGGAUAAAUACCCUGUUCAAUCAUUCUAUGUCACCUUUAACCGAAUGUAAAAUUUUUAUUGCAUUUGGUCUUAAAGCCUAUAAUAAACACCCCUAAAGUAGCCUUGGCUAACCCAUUUAUAAAAUAAAAUUGUAUUUCAGUAUAUUAAGUGUAUAAUGAGUGUGUGUACAUUGUGAAUUAAUUUAAUAAACUAAUUCAUGGUAGCCUUCUGUUAAUUCACUAAAAUGAUGCUAUAUUCAGUUAGCCUAUGUUUACUUUACGGACAAAGCCCAGUGUGCCCAGGAUGGUAAAAAUAAUUAUUACAAUGUAUUCCUAAUGACCAACACAAGUCUUCUGCAUACUGACAUGUUAUAAAAUCUGUACACAGCAAAAUCACCAGUGUUAAAUUUUCAGGGAUGGUGUUAAAUACACAGUGUUGAUGCUGUUUUAACACUAUCUGGUAAUAAAAUAACACUGCCAUUGCUAGGCCAGUGUUAUAUUCACGACAGUGUCAGUGCAAAACAAGGGUGUUAUCAGAUUUCACUCUGAGCGGUGUAAAUUAAGCCACGCCUCCACUAAACAUAUCCUGUCAGGGAUUUUACCGCCAUUUUCUUUCAGAGGAGAACUGAAGAGAUCAGGUAAAUCAGUCUCAUAAUAUUCACAUGGUUUAGCUAAAUUAAACUGUUAUUUCUCUGUCUGACUCUACGCAGCCAUAUGCCAAAAAACCUAAAUAAGAUAUUUUUCCCAUUUUAUUUCCCCUUUGUUCGUUAUUUGGUUCAGUUUAAUCAGAGCUACCUUGUGUUACGUUGUUCCCUUGUUAGUUUAGUAUAAAGUUAAACUGCUAGCUAAAAGUUUAAAACCAAGAAGGAUAAUUUUAACAGGAGAUAUGAAUGAUAAAACGCGACAUGCACUACAAAUUGAAGGUAUGAAAUUAAGUUAAAUGAAAGCUCGUUUAUUCACCAUAUGAUGCUCGUUAUAAGGUAAUCAUAUAUAGGCUAGAUACCGUGAGUUAACGAGGUCGUUUACUAGCACGUGAGUGCACGGAUAUCGGUUAAUUAUUCAAAUUACUGAAAAACACGGAGAAAACCGCAACCGCAUCGUCAUGUGUUUUUCUAAGAUGUAUGCAAACAGGGGAAAUAUCGCCAAACCAACAAUUAAUUUGACCAAAACCUCACAAUAUAUCAUCAUUUGUAUGCACAGAUUGGAUGCAUUGUGUGUUGUAAGCUAUUCGUGGCGCUAGAUGUCAGACAGAUGCAAAUGGCAAAUACAUACGGAAGUGUAAAACGUGUAUGGCGAACAUUUGUUUUUUUUCUGUCAUUAUAGAUGCUAGUUUGGUGAAAGUUCACACUGAGUGCUUCAAAUCAUUCAGAAGAGAUGCUGUUUUUAGGGCAGUUUAUUAAAGAAGACCUGACAUGGAUGACUUCCAAUGAGAAACGACUGCUAAUACUUAUAUAAAUUCAUUACAGAAGGACCCUACCAGACUAUAUUUGAAUACGGCAUACCCAUGAAUUCUGGAACUGUUAUUCCUUAACCCAGUUUGGAGGAUAAGAGCUUACCAACUAGUUAUAAAUAUGCUGAGGUGAUGUAUUGCAAAAUAGCCAACAUACAACAAUAUGGAUGACCCUCUGUCUGGUCAACAGGAGUUUAAAUAUGGACGGGACAGUUAUGUGGCAGCUCUUCCCUGGCUCAUUCACCUCUUGCCUUUCAUUUGUGAAAGGAAAAAAGAAGAAAGAAGAAAGAGGGUCAAUGUGCAACUGAAGCUACUGAUUGUGCUGUGUGAUGAGCAUCAAUCCAUGCUUUGAGGGGGAUGAAUCAGCACAGCCCUGCCUGCACUGCGUUGGGAACAGAAGUUGCAUCCAGAAUUUUUGCAUCAUUCUGGACCAAGAAGCCAUUCCCUUCAUGAUGAAGACCACUGAUGCAGCCUUCCGCUACAUCAUGAGUAAAACAACUACAGAACUAAAUACCAGGUUGGAACGUAUUUAAGAAAAAUGAAACGUCUUUUGAAUUGAAAUGUCUGUUUUGUUAUGGAAAAAUCUUUAGUAUUGUGAAGGAUAAGCAUUUCUGCCUGCCAGUAAGGUAAUGCAGUGUAUUUUAAUGUUCAAGUUUUGAGUAGGGUGGCUAAUUUUUUUUAAACUCUCAUUUGAUAUAUUAAAGACCUUAUAAUAAGUGGUUUUCAUGUCACUGCGCUGUGGUAUAAGAUAACUUUCAUUAUUCCAUACUGUAUUCGGUUUCUAAUUGUAGCUGAGGUAUUUAAAUAAGCAGUGUUAAAUGCAAAGUGUUGUGUGUAUCAAUGUAAAUAUUAAAUGUGAUGUACUUUAAUAAAAAGAGGUUUUGCAAUA
This is a long non-coding RNA of Paramisgurnus dabryanus, 3476 nucleotides long. RefSeq lists it as uncharacterized. The record is from RefSeq and is a predicted model, not a curated record. NCBI's taxonomy places the organism in Eukaryota, Metazoa, Chordata, Actinopteri, Cypriniformes, Cobitidae.